GCGCCAUAUUAGUUAGUUGGUAGGGUAAUGGCCUACCAAGACGAUGAUGUGUAGCUGGACUGAGAGGUUGAACAGCCACAUUGGGACUGAGACACGGCCCAAACUCCUACGGGAGGCAGCAGUAGGGAAUUUUCGGCAAUGGAGGAAACUCUGACCGAGCAACGCCGCGUGAAUGACGAAGUACUUCGGUAUGUAAAGUUCUUUUAUCAAGGAAGAAAAGCAAAUGGCGAACCAUUUGUUUGCCGGUACUUGAUGAAUAAGCCCCGGCUAAUUAUGUGCCAGCAGCCGCGGUAAGACAUAAGGGGCAAGUGUUAUCCGGAAUUAUUGGGCGUAAAGGGUGCGUAGGCGGUCUAGUAAGUCAGUGGUGUAAUGGCAACGCUUAACGUUGUCCGGCUAUUGAAACUGCUAAACUUGAGUUAGAUAGAGGCGAGUGGAAUUCCAUGUGUAGCGGUAAAAUGCGUAAAUAUAUGGAGGAACACCAGAGGCGUAGGCGGCUCGCUGGGUCUUAACUGACGCUGAGGCACGAAAGCGUGGGGAGCAAACAGGAUUAGAUACCCUGGUAGUCCACGCCGUAAACGAUGAGUACUAAGUGUCGGGUUAAACCGGUACUGAAGUUAACACAUUAAGUACUCCGCCUGAGUAGUACGUACGCAAGUAUGAAACUUAAAGGAAUUGACGGGACUCCGCACAAGCGGUGGAUCAUGUUGUUUAAUUCGAAGAUACCCGAAAAACCUUACCAGGUCUUGACAUGUUUUUGCAAAAUGAUAGUAAUAUCGUGGAGGUUACCAGAAACACAGGUGGUGCAUGGUUGUCGUCAGCUCGUGUCGUGAGAUGUUAGGUUAAGUCCUAAAACGAGCGAAACCCUUAUCGUUAGUUGCCAGCACGUUAUGGUGGGGACUUUAACGAGACUGCCAAUGAUAAAUUGGAGGAAGGUGAGGAUCACGUCAAAUCAGCAUGCCCCUUAUGACCUGGGCUACAAACGUGAUACAAUGGCUGUUACAAAGGGUAGCUGAAACGCAAGUUCUUGGCCAAUCCCCAAAAACAGUCCCAGUCCGGAUUGAAGUCUGCAACUCGACUUCAUGAAGUUGGAAUCGCUAGUAAUCG
Molecule: ribosomal RNA, 1104 nt
Filed under: 'Petunia hybrida' phytoplasma
Lineage: Bacteria; Bacillati; Mycoplasmatota; Mollicutes; Acholeplasmatales; Acholeplasmataceae
Description: bacterial SSU rRNA
Rfam family: Bacterial small subunit ribosomal RNA
Source: RNAcentral